UUUGCUACUAUUUGCUGAAGGAAUUGUAUG
Molecule: non-coding RNA, 30 nt
Filed under: Mus musculus (house mouse)
Lineage: Eukaryota; Metazoa; Chordata; Mammalia; Rodentia; Muridae
Source: RNAcentral